GAGUGCGCAGUAACGGCUUUAAAGGUCCGCAGCAUGGAGGCGCGAGGUGAGUGCGGGCAGCCUCGUUAUGUCUGAGAGGGAAGAGGAGCAGCGGCAGCAACAGACGGUGAUGGCGCUGCCGCCGCCGUUGUCUGACUCGAAUCGGACAGCAUCACCACAGAAUGACGGACUUAGUUCUGCAGGUGAAUGUGACUUGCAUAAAAAUAUUUCCACCACUGGCAAUUCUUUUCCAAAUGAGAUGCUUGUGCCAAACUUGGAGCCCUCUGAUAAAACCAACACUUCUAAAUCAAAAGCUACAAUUAAUGAGAGUAAAGCUGACAAACAGGAAGCCAGUUUGAAACCCUUUAUGGAUUUGACAGAGACAUCAGUGGUGCAGGUUGAAUCUCCUGAAGGAUCGGCAUCAAUGGACACUGAAUCUCAACCUGAGAACUCCCCACCUGAGAGAAUAGUGGGAGAUAUUGAAAAUGUAGAACUGAAUGAUUCAGAGCUCCCCUUCCCCAAAGAAUAUGAAAAGUUUUGGAAGGUGGUUGAGGACAAUCCCCAGGACUUCACAGGUUGGACAUACUUGUUGCAAUAUGUGGAACAGGAGAAUCAUAUCCUGGCAGCCAGAAAAGCUUUUGAUCACUUUUUGUCUCACUACCCAUAUUGUUAUGGCUAUUGGAAAAAGUACGCUGAUCUUGAGCGGCGACAUGACAACGUGAAACAGGCAGAAGAGGUGUACCGACGAGGACUUCAAGCAAUACCUCUUAGCGUUGAUCUUUGGCUUCACUAUAUCAAUUUCUUAAAAGAGAUCUUGGAUAGCAACUGUCUAGAGACUGAUGUCCAAAUAAAAAGUGUAUUUGAACAUGCUGUGUUAGCUGCAGGGACUGAUUUCCGCUCGGAUAGACUUUGGGAAACUUACAUCAACUGGGAAAAUGACAGGGGAAAUUUGGAAGAGGUGACGGCAAUUUACGAUCGGAUUAUUGGUAUUCCAACACAGCUUUACAGUCAUCACUUCCAAAGGUUCAAAGAUCAUGUUCAGAAUCAUUUGCCUAAAGAUAUAAUCUCUUCAGGGGAUUUUAUUAAACUACGUCAAGAGCUGGCAUCCACAAAUGAACGUUUUGAUAAUGAUGGUACUCCAGGAAAUGAUCUAGCAGCUGGAAUUGAUAUAAAUGAUCCUGCACAGAUUGUUUCUGAAAUAGAGAAUAUGCGUCAUAGAAUAAUUGAAGUUCGUCAGGAAACAUAUAAUCAUAAUGAGAAUGAAGUUAGCAGACGAUGGAUUUUUGAGGAAGGGAUUAAACGACCUUACUUCCAUGUGAAGCCAUUGGAAAAAGUACAGCUUAAAAACUGGAAAGAUUAUCUUGACUUUGAGAUAGAAAAUGGAACCCUUGAACGUGUGGUGGUUUUGUUUGAGAGGUGCCUUGUUGCUUGUGCCCUUUAUGAAGACUUCUGGAUAAAGUAUGCUAAAUUCAUGGAAAGCCACAGUGAUGAAGGUGUGCGACAUGUGUACAGUAGAGCAUGUACAGUUCACCUCUCAAAGAAACCAAUGGUACACUUACUUUGGGCAGCUUUUGAGGAACAGCAAGGGAACAUUAAUGAAGCAAGAAGAAUUCUUAAAACACUCGAAGGAUCUGUGCCUGGGUUAGCCAUGGUCCGCUUAAGACGAGUGAGCCUAGAACGCCGCCAUGGAAAUAUAGAUGAAGCGGAGUUUCUGCUACAAGAUGCUAUUAAAAACAGCAAAACGCCUAGUGAAGCAUCUUUCUAUGCUGUGAAGUUGGCUCGUCUUUUAUUCAAAGUAGAGAAGAGCCUUCCUAGGGCUAGGAAGGUUUUAGUGGAAGCCAUAGACAUUGAUCAGGAAAGUACCAAACUAUAUCUGAAUCUGUUGGAACUUGAAUAUAAUUCAGAUCUCAAACUGAAUGAGGAAAACAUUCUGAAUGCUUUCGACAAAGCAAUAAGUAGCUCAAUGCCAAUAGAAACAAAGAUAGCCUUCUCCCAGCGAAAAGUUGAAUUUUUGGAGGACUUUGGCUCUGAUGUGAAAAGACUCAUGGUGGCUUAUGAUGAUCAUCAAAAGCUUUUGAAAGAGCAGGAGUCAUCUAAAAGAAAGGCAGAAAAUGGGCAAGUAGUGUUUUUUAGUGAAUGUAGAAAUGGCAAUGGAUCAAGAGUUGAUUGAGGACCUCUGCUUUGGUCAGAAGAGCCAGAGGAGAAAAAACAAAGGAGUGAGGCAACAUUAGCAUCUGCCCAGCUGAUGAGUGGGGACUUGCAAGCUAAUCAGUCUGCAUAUAACUACAAUGCUUGGUAUCAGUAUAAUUAUCCAACACCAUGGAGCUAUGGACAGUAUUACCCACCGCCCCCUACCUAAUUUGCUGGAAUUUCUUGAGAAACUGAAGUGUUUCCUUUUCGUUAUAAAAUUGGAAGAUAUUGCAGUUUAAUAGACAUGCUAUCCAAGACUGUGGAAUUUUUUUCAAGAGAAAGUUGUUUACUGCAAAAUAUUUGAGGUCGGACAUGAUUUGCGUUCAAAAACAUUUUGCGAAUUCUCAUACCUUUUUUGAAUGUGAUUUUUAAAGAAACUUCUCUUCAUACAUAAUUUGUUAAUAGAAAAAUAAAUUUUAAAAGCACUGCAGAGCACCACUGAUGGUAUAUUUUCUUAACUGGCAAUUUCAUGCAAUUGUAGAAUUUUGAAAAAUAUGCUGAGAACUAUGUAAUCAAGUUUUUUUUAAAAACUAGUACAUUUGUAAUUGAGAGAUUAACUUCAAAGAAAUAUAUUCUGUUUCUUAUUCAAUUAAAAUAACUACAUAUAUGGGAGUUCUGACUUUAGAUACCUCAAAGUCAGUGAUGCAUCCUGCUUUGUGAAGUAGUACUGAUGGAUCUAGUAAUUCUUAAACACAUUUAAGCAAAGGGAUCUUGAUCCACUCCUGCCUACUUUAAACUGAAAUUGUGUUACUACAUGUUGCUAGUCUGUUCAACAUUAAAAUUAGAAGUUGCCUAUUGUAAAUGCACCUGCUGUAAUUUUAGCAAUUUUAUUAAACAAAGGAUUGCCGCCAGUCAUAUUUGUUAGGAAGCAGCAAGUAUAAAAUAGGUACUGUAUAUGUUUAAAGACUGUCUUAUUUUUUGAGCAUUUAUUUUUUCCAAACUGAAACCGAACAUAAAUUCCACGCAUUCAAAAAAAAAACAUUUCUUCCCUUUAAGCAAUUAAGAGCAGCAGGAGGAUACCAGUUCAAUACUUGACGUUUUUUUUUUAAUUAAACAGAGGUUCAUCAGCUAAAAAUGGUUGCCAGAAACACACACUUGAAGAGAGAGAUGAUCAGACUGGUAUUCUGGAACAAUGUGAUUCAAAUGAGCAAUUGUAUUUUAUUUCAAACCUCUUCUAAUAUAAAUGAGAAUUUUACCAAGCUUA
RNA transcript from Carcharodon carcharias (great white shark), 3373 nucleotides. It is a transcript of the gene named PRP39 pre-mRNA processing factor 39 homolog (yeast), with no coding region annotated. The transcript has 14 exons. The record is from RefSeq and is a predicted model, not a curated record. Lineage: Eukaryota; Metazoa; Chordata; Chondrichthyes; Lamniformes; Lamnidae.